This 45-nucleotide non-coding RNA is filed under the name Schistosoma mattheei. Lineage: Eukaryota; Metazoa; Platyhelminthes; Trematoda; Strigeidida; Schistosomatidae. The record is from RNAcentral.
AUCCAGCUGACGAGUCCCAAAUAGGAUGAAAUGUGUGUCCUGAAU